UUCCAAACAACUUAGCGGCGGACGGGUGAGUAACACGUAGGUAACCUGCCUAUAAGACUGGGAUAACUACCGGAAACGGUAGCUAAUACCGGAUAAUUUGUUUCUUCUCAUGAAGAGACACUGAAAGGCGGAGUAAUCUGCCACUUAUAGAUGGGCCUGCGGCGCAUUAGCUAGUUGGUGAGGUAACGGCUCACCAAGGCGACGAUGCGUAGCCGACCUGAGAGGGUGAACGGCCACACUGGGACUGAGACACGGCCCAGACUCCUACGGGAGGCAGCAGUAGGGAAUCUUCCGCAAUGGACGAAAGUCUGACGGAGCAAUGCCGCGUGAGUGAUGAAGGUUUUCGGAUCGUAAAGCUCUGUUGCCAGGGAAGAACGCUUGGGAGAGUAACUGCUCUCAAGGUGACGGUACCUGAGAAGAAA
RNAcentral lists this ribosomal RNA (422 nucleotides) under Paenibacillaceae bacterium CL7.28. RNAcentral describes it as "bacterial SSU rRNA". It matches the Rfam family "Bacterial small subunit ribosomal RNA", at positions 81 to 489 of the family's 1533-position model. The record is from RNAcentral. Lineage: Bacteria; Bacillati; Bacillota; Bacilli; Caryophanales; Paenibacillaceae.